RNAcentral lists this ribosomal RNA (773 nucleotides) under uncultured bacterium. RNAcentral describes it as "bacterial SSU rRNA". It matches the Rfam family "Bacterial small subunit ribosomal RNA", at positions 76 to 850 of the family's 1533-position model. The record is from RNAcentral.
UGCUUUUGAUGGGCGUCGACCGGCGCACGGGUGAGUAACGCGUAUCCAACCUGCCCAUCACUUGGGGAUAACCUUGCGAAAGUAAGACUAAUACCCAAUGAUAUCUCUAGAAGACAUCUGAAAGAGAUUAAAGAUUUAUCGGUGAUGGAUGGGGAUGCGUCUGAUUAGCUUGUUGGCGGGGUAACGGCCCACCAAGGCUACGAUCAGUAGGGGUUCUGAGAGGAAGGUCCCCCACAUUGGAACUGAGACACGGUCCAAACUCCUACGGGAGGCAGCAGUGAGGAAUAUUGGUCAAUGGACGAGAGUCUGAACCAGCCAAGUAGCGUGCAGGAUGACGGCCCUAUGGGUUGUAAACUGCUUUUAUAAGGGAAUAAAGUGAGAGUCGUGACUCUUUUUGCAUGUACCUUAUGAAUAAGGACCGGCUAAUUCCGUGCCAGCAGCCGCGGUAAUACGGAAGGUCCGGGCGUUAUCCGGAUUUAUUGGGUUUAAAGGGAGCGUAGGCCGGAGAUUAAGCGUGUUGUGAAAUGUAGAUGCUCAACAUCUGAACUGCAGCGCGAACUGGUUUCCUUGAGUACGCACAAAGUGGGCGGAAUUCGUGGUGUAGCGGUGAAAUGCUUAGAUAUCACGAAGAACUCCGAUUGCGAAGGCAGCUCACUGGAGCGCAACUGACGCUGAAGCUCGAAAGUGCGGGUAUCGAACAGGAUUAGAUACCCUGGUAGUCCGCACGGUAAACGAUGGAUGCCCGCUGUUGGUCUGAAUAGGUCAGCGGCCAA